UUGGUAGUGCGGAGCCUCUUGAGACCUAUUGCGCCCACCUGCUGUUAUCAAGAGAUGAGGUGUACUUUGCAGUUCUGGAGUCAAAAGGUCUUUCUGUAUAUGGACCUCGGACUGCUAACCAGGUGGAUGAACUUUUGCGAAGGAAGCUUGCUAAAGAGGCCUCAGAGAAGGAGUUUGAGGAACUUAUACAGUUUCUACGAUCUGCUAAACAAAUGCCUCAUCACGACAAACCCCCAAGAUCUUCUUGGAAGGCUGAAGAGAAAACUUGGCACAAGAUAGAGUCUCUUGAAGCUUUUGCCAUUGAUUCUUG
This 310-nucleotide unclassified non-coding RNA is filed under the name Hevea brasiliensis (rubber tree). The record is from RNAcentral. Lineage: Eukaryota; Viridiplantae; Streptophyta; Magnoliopsida; Malpighiales; Euphorbiaceae.